Molecule: ribosomal RNA, 495 nt
Filed under: uncultured bacterium
Lineage: Bacteria
Description: bacterial SSU rRNA
Rfam family: Bacterial small subunit ribosomal RNA
Source: RNAcentral
AUUGAACGCUGGCGGAAUGCUUUACACAUGCAAGUCGAACGGUAGAGGGGGCAACCCCUUGAGAGUGGCGAACGGGUGAGUAAUAUAUCGGAACGUGCCCAGUCGUGGGGAUAACGUAGCGAAAGUUACGCUAAUACCGCAUACGAUCUAAGGAUGAAAGCGGGGGACUCGCAAGAGCCUCGCGCGAUUGGAGCGGCCGAUAUCAGAUUAGGUAGUUGGUGGGGUAAAGGCUCACCAAGCCAACGAUCUGUAGCCGGUCUGAGAGGACGACCAGCCACACUGGAACUGAGACACGGUCCAGACUCCUACGGGAGGCAGCAGUGGGGAAUUUUGGACAAUGGACGCAAGUCUGAUCCAGCCAUUCCGCGUGCAGGAUGAAGGCCCUCGGGUUGUAAACUGCUUUUGUACGGAACGAAAAGGUUUCUAUUAAUACUAGGAGCUCAUGACGGUACCGUAAGAAUAAGCACCGGCUAACUACGUGCCAGCAGCCGCGGU